CGGGCCGUAGUGUAACGGUUAACAUGCACCCUUGGGGUGGGUGUGACAGAGGGUUCGACUCCCUCCGGCCCGA
Candidatus Liptonbacteria bacterium is the source of this 73-nucleotide non-coding RNA. NCBI's taxonomy places the organism in Bacteria, Candidatus Liptoniibacteriota. The record is from Rfam.